GUUGUAUGGUUAAGUGACUAAGCGUACACGGUGGAUGCCUUGGCAGUCAGAGGCGAUGAAGGACGUAGUAACUUGCGAUAAGCGUAGAUGAGGCAGUAACAGCCACUUGAGUCUACGAUUUCCGAAUGGGGAAACCCACUGGCAUAAGCCAGUAUCAUUGAGUGAAUACAUAGCUCAAUGAAGCGAACCGGGAGAACUGAAACAUCUAAGUACCCCGAGGAAAAGAAAUCAACCGAGAUUCCGAAAGUAGCGGCGAGCGAAAUUGGAUUAGCCCUUAAGCUUUACAUGUGUUAGACGAACGGUCUGGAAAGUCCGACGAUACAGGGUGAUAGUCCCGUAGUUGACGAUGCAUGUUCAGUGAAAUCGAGUAGGGCGGGACACGUGUUAUCCUGUCUGAAUAUGGGGGGACCAUCCUCCAAGGCUAAAUACUCCUGACUGACCGAUAGUGAACCAGUACCGUGAGGGAAAGGCGAAAAGAACCCCUGUGAGGGGAGUGAAAUAGAACCUGAAACCGUGUACGUACAAGCAGUAGGAGCACCUUCGUGGUGUGACUGCGUACCUUUUGUAUAAUGGGUCAGCGACUUAUAUUCAGUGGCAAGGUUAACCAUCUAGGGGAGCCGUAGGGAAACCGAGUCUUAACUGGGCGUCAUAGUCUCUGGAUAUAGACCCGAAACCGAGUGAUCUAGCCAUGGGCAGGUUGAAGGUUGAGUAACAUCAACUGGAGGACCGAACCGACUAAUGUUGAAAAAUUAGCGGAUGACUUGUGGCUAGGGGUGAAAGGCCAAUCAAACUCGGAGAUAGCUGGUUCUCCCCGAAAGCUAUUUAGGUAGCGCCUCGGACGAAUACUACUGGGGGUAGAGCACUGUUAAGGCUAGGGGGUCAUCCCGACUUACCAACCCUUUGCAAACUCCGAAUACCAGUAAGUACUAUCCGGGAGACACACGGCGGGUGCUAACGUCCGUCGUGGAGAGGGAAACAACCCAGACCGCCAGCUAAGGUCCCAAAUUACAGCUAAGUGGGAAACGAUGUGGGAAGGCUUAGACAGCUAGGAUGUUGGCUUAGAAGCAGCCAUCAUUUAAAGAAAGCGUAAUAGCUCACUAGUCGAGUCGGCCUGCGCGGAAGAUGUAACGGGGCUAAGUUGUAAACCGAAGCUGCGGCAAUGUUCU
This 1166-nucleotide ribosomal RNA is filed under the name Vibrio vulnificus. RNAcentral describes it as "partial 23S ribosomal RNA". It matches the Rfam family "Bacterial large subunit ribosomal RNA", at positions 1 to 1214 of the family's 2925-position model. The record is from RNAcentral. Lineage: Bacteria; Pseudomonadati; Pseudomonadota; Gammaproteobacteria; Vibrionales; Vibrionaceae.